This 106-nucleotide transfer RNA is filed under the name Thermofilum pendens Hrk 5. It matches the Rfam family "tRNA". Rfam says of the family: Transfer RNA (tRNA) molecules are approximately 80 nucleotides in length. Lineage: Archaea; Thermoproteati; Thermoproteota; Thermoprotei; Thermofilales; Thermofilaceae. The record is from Rfam by way of RNAcentral.
GCCCCGGUCGUCUAGUGGUCCAGGAAGGUUUGCCCUGGAGUGGCGGCCUGUCGAGCCGCAGAGCCUUAAGGCGCGGAGAACCCGGGUUCGAAUCCCGGCCGGGGCG